RNAcentral lists this ribosomal RNA (492 nucleotides) under uncultured bacterium. RNAcentral's name for it is "partial 16S ribosomal RNA". It matches the Rfam family "Bacterial small subunit ribosomal RNA", at positions 29 to 507 of the family's 1533-position model. The record is from RNAcentral.
AGUGAACGCUGGCGGUAGGCCUAACACAUGCAAGUCGAACGGCAGCACAGUAAGAGCUUGCUCUUACGGGUGGCGAGUGGCGUACGGGUGAGGAAUACAUCGGAAUCUACUUUUUCGUGGGGGAUAACGUAGGGAAACUUACUCUAAUACCGCAUACGACCUACGGGGGAAAGCAGUGGAUCUUCGGACCUUGCGCGAUUGAAUGAGCCGAUGUCGGAUUAGCUAGUUGGCGGGGUGAAUGCCAACCAAGGCGACGAUCCGUAGCUGGUCUGAGAGGAUGGUCAGCCACACUGGAACUGAGACACGGUCCAGACUCCUCCGGGAGGCAGCAGUGGGGAAUAUUGGACACUGGGGGCAAGCCUGAUCCAGACAUACCGCGUGGGUGAAGAAGGCCUUCGGGUUGUAAAACCAUUUUGUUGGGAAAGAAAAGCAGCAGGUUCAUACACCGCUGUUCUGAGGGUACCCAAAGAAUAAACACCGGCUAACUUCGUG